CAUUGAUGACUUUCUCAACUGUAUUAAAUAUGUGUUUAUUUUGGUUGACUGAGAGCUACUAUGUUGACUGUCUGUUAUAACUGUAAUAAUACAGUCAACUAAAUUAGUAGCUUAUUGAUGAGUCGUUAUUUCUUGAACCAUAUUUAGUUUAUUGCACUUAAUUAAACCAGGGAAUUGUGUUUAAUUGUCUGUUAUUUCCC
RNAcentral lists this long non-coding RNA (200 nucleotides) under Vigna radiata. Its description in RNAcentral is "long non-coding RNA (VRAD_LNC011649)". Lineage: Eukaryota; Viridiplantae; Streptophyta; Magnoliopsida; Fabales; Fabaceae. The record is from RNAcentral.